RNAcentral lists this ribosomal RNA (234 nucleotides) under Afipia sp. ISO305_OTU91. RNAcentral describes it as "partial 16S ribosomal RNA". It matches the Rfam family "Bacterial small subunit ribosomal RNA", at positions 29 to 289 of the family's 1533-position model. Lineage: Bacteria; Pseudomonadati; Pseudomonadota; Alphaproteobacteria; Hyphomicrobiales; Nitrobacteraceae. The record is from RNAcentral. RNAcentral also lists the same sequence under 4 other names.
GCGAACGCUGGCGGCAGGCUUAACACAUGCAAGUCGAACGGGCGUAGCAAUACGUCAGUGGCAGACGGGUGAGUAACGCGUGGGAACAUACCUCUUGGUUCGGAACAACACAGGGAAACUUGUGCUAAUACCGGAUAAGCCCUUACGGGGAAAGAUUUAUCGCCGAGAGAUUGGCCCGCGUCUGAUUAGCUAGUUGGUGGGGUAAAGGCCUACCAAGGCGACGAUCAGUAGCUG